Molecule: small RNA, 125 nt
Filed under: Marmota monax (woodchuck)
Lineage: Eukaryota; Metazoa; Chordata; Mammalia; Rodentia; Sciuridae
Source: RNAcentral
GCCGGGUGCAGCAGCGCAUGCCUGUAAUCCCAGCGGCUGGGGAGGCUGAGUCAGGAGGAUCUCGAGCUCAAAGCCAGCCUCAGCAAUGGCGAGGCACUAAGGAACUCAGUGAGAUCCUGUCUCUA